Molecule: unclassified non-coding RNA, 249 nt
Filed under: fungal sp.
Lineage: Eukaryota; Fungi
Description: partial internal transcribed spacer region
Rfam family: Eukaryotic small subunit ribosomal RNA (bases 1-46)
Source: RNAcentral
AAGUCGUAACAAGGUUUCCGUAGGUGAACCUGCGGAAGGAUCAUUAACACGUAUCCAAACGUUAAACCCCCCUGUGAACCUUCAGUGUACUCGUACGUCCGUUAGAAAAAGCAGCAAUCCCUGGUAAACGGCCGACGACCGGGUCACUGGGCGCAAGCCCCCCUAUAACAAACGCUGCUAAUCGCGGCCGCGAUAAUACGCAGUCGACCAAAAACCGAACAACUGUUAACAAUGGAUAUCUUGGUUCUC